Molecule: ribosomal RNA, 267 nt
Filed under: uncultured bacterium
Lineage: Bacteria
Description: partial 16S ribosomal RNA
Rfam family: Bacterial small subunit ribosomal RNA
Source: RNAcentral
CGGUAAACAAAGGGAUGCAAAGCCGCGAGGCAGAGCGAACCCCCAAAAGCCGUCCCAGUUCGGAUCGCAGGCUGCAACCCGCCUGCGUGAAGUCGGAAUCGCUAGUAAUCGCGGAUCAGCAUGCCGCGGUGAAUACGUUCCCGGGCCUUGUACACACCGCCCGUCACACCAUGAGAGUCGGGAACACCCGAAGUCCGUAGCCUAACCGCAAGGAGGACGCUGCCGAAGGUAGGAUUGGCGACUGGGGUGAAGUCGUAACAAGGUACC